This 68-nucleotide transfer RNA is filed under the name Dendrocygna javanica (lesser whistling duck). Its description in RNAcentral is "tRNA-Arg". Lineage: Eukaryota; Metazoa; Chordata; Aves; Anseriformes; Anatidae. The record is from RNAcentral.
AGAAAGUUAGUCUAACUAAGACAGUUGAUUUCGACUCAACAAAUUACAGAUAACCCUGUAACUUUCUC